This 84-nucleotide transfer RNA is filed under the name subsurface metagenome. Its description in RNAcentral is "tRNA-Leu". It matches the Rfam family "tRNA". From Rfam's summary of the family: Transfer RNA (tRNA) molecules are approximately 80 nucleotides in length. Their secondary structure includes four short double-helical elements and three loops (D, anti-codon, and T loops). The record is from RNAcentral.
GCCGAAGUGGCGGAACUGGAAGACGCGCUGGGUUCAGGGUCCAGUGUCCUUACGGAUGUAGGGGUUCGAAUCCCCUCUUCGGCA